This is a long non-coding RNA of Hipposideros armiger (great roundleaf bat), 1614 nucleotides long. RefSeq lists it as uncharacterized. NCBI's taxonomy places the organism in Eukaryota, Metazoa, Chordata, Mammalia, Chiroptera, Hipposideridae. The transcript has 3 exons. The record is from RefSeq and is a predicted model, not a curated record.
GAUAUGUGUGGUUGACAUGAGGAUAAGUAUGUGUGGGUAUGAAUGUGUGAGUGUGAGUGUAUGUGGGUGACAUGUGUGUGAAUGGGAUCCUGUGCAUGUGUGGUUACAUCUGUAGCUGUGUGUUUUAGCAUUUCUGUGUCCCUCAUCACAGGUGAGUCAGCAAGCUUGCUCCUUUAGGUCAAUCAUUUCUGCACCUGGCAGAGAGGUCAGCUGUCGAGGGUUUCUGAUGGGUUAUUUCUAAGCAGGGUUUGUGCCCCUGCUCGGUGCUGAGGGUGACAGGUGACUUCACUUUCUCUGGAGGGUUCUGUCUCACUGCAGCCCUGUGGGAUUCAGAGAAAGAGCCCCUUGUAAUGACGUGCAAACAGUCAGGGGUGGACAACACCUUUAGUGACAGAGACAGUGUCAGCAGGCGUCUAUUACUUGCAUUUCUACUGGACUAUCCGAGACACAGUGAGUAGAAACCAUCACGCCUCCAGCCGGCUCCAGCACAGACUCAACCACUGACAGUAACCCCAAAGAGGAAUGAGACGUGUGCAUGCAACGUGCCCUGUCGCUAGCUAGAACUGCCAUUACAUCACAGCACCACAGAUGGGGUGGGUGGCUUAAAGAGGACACUCAUUUUCUCACAGUUCUGGAGGCUGAAAGUGUGAGAUCAAGAGGUGAUCAAGGUUAGACUCUUCUGAGGCCACUGUCGUCGGCUGUCUAGUCUGUGUCUUCACACGGUCUUGCCUACAUGUGCAGCUUUGUCCUCGUUGAAUAAGGACACUGGUCAGUGUAGAUUAGGGCCCACGACAGUGGUCUCAUUUAACAUGACCUCUCUAAAGCCCCUCUCUUCAAGUACAGUCACAUUCUAACUUCCUGGGGUUUGGGACUUCAAUAUGUGAAACUGGAGGAGCCACAAUUUACCCAUUACAGAAGAAUUGGGGAGAAAGGGUACCUCCCACCAGAGGUCUUGUCCCAGGACCCAGCGGACUCUGAGGCCCUCUCAGGGGGUAGAUGACGACCUCAGCCCAUCUGCACUUGGAAUGAAGCAGAAGGCGUGCAACCCGCUGUUGAAGUGCUCAAGUCUCACCUCCGUCACUGUCAUCGGCCCAAAGGCAGUCCUUUCAACAAAGCUGAGCAGGGUUGCUGGGCACUGAGCCGAGGGCAAGGGUGAGAGUCAAGAUCAGGACUGAGUCCCCCCAACACUGACGGCAGGAUGCUAUUCAGAACUGCUGUUUCACGGUGUGAAGCAUUUAUAGUGAUCUAGGGUGCUACUGAGACGCCAACACAAGACAAAGUGGGCUAGUGAAAUGUCCUGAUGGUGGGGUGUGCAUGUGUACGUGCAUGUGUGUAAUGGAAGCGCAUGGGGUACAGAAAUGUCCUGAUAGAAACAGAUGCUUGCUCUCCUAAGAUGUACUGGUGUCGGCCAGCAGCUCAAAAAUGCACCACACACAAAGUGACAGGUGGACAGUUGUGCGACAAAGGAUCCGGGACAAAAGUCUGCAGUGACAGAAUAUCAGUGGUGGGUGUUUUAUGGGCAUUCUCUAAAUAAUCCUCUCAACUCUCUGUAUGUUUGGAACAUUUCAGAAUGAAUGCUGGGCAAUAACUGUGUGUAGGAAACGGAAUAAAGAU